AACGAACGCUGGCGGCAUGCCUAACACAUGCAAGUCGAACGAGACCUUCGGGUCUAGUGGCGCACGGGUGCGUAACGCGUGGGAACCUGCCCUUAGGUUCGGAAUAACUCCCCGAAAGGGGUGCUAAUACCGGAUAAUGAUUUCGGACCAAAGAUUUAUCGCCUUUGGAUGGGCCCGCGUUGGAUUAGCUAGUUGGUAGGGUAAAAGCCUACCAAGGCGACGAUCCAUAGCUGGUCUGAGAGGAUGAUCAGCCACACUGGGACUGAGACACGGCCCAGACUCCUACGGGAGGCAGCAGUGGGGAAUAUUGGACAAUGGGCGAAAGCCUGAUCCAGCAAUGCCGCGUGAGUGAUGAAGGCCUUAGGGUUGUAAAGCUCUUUUACCCGGGAUGAUAAUGACAGUACCGGGAGAAUAAGUUCCGGCUAACUCCGUG
Molecule: ribosomal RNA, 433 nt
Filed under: uncultured bacterium
Lineage: Bacteria
Description: partial 16S ribosomal RNA
Rfam family: Bacterial small subunit ribosomal RNA
Source: RNAcentral